This 837-nucleotide ribosomal RNA is filed under the name uncultured archaeon. Its description in RNAcentral is "bacterial SSU rRNA". It matches the Rfam family "Archaeal small subunit ribosomal RNA", at positions 21 to 859 of the family's 1478-position model. The record is from RNAcentral.
GGUUACUGCUAUCGGUGUUCGCCUAAGCCAUGCGAGUCAUAUGUUCUUCGGAACAUGGCGUACUGCUCAGUAACACGUGGAUAACCUGCCCUUGGGUCCGGCAUAACCCCGGGAAACUGGGGAUAAUUCCGGAUAACGCACACAUGCUGGAAUGCUUUAUGCGUCAAAUGGAUUCGUCCGCCCAAGGAUGGGUCUGCGGCCUAUCAGGUAGUAGUGGGUGUAAUGUACCUACUAGCCUACGACGGGUACGGGUUGUGAGAGCAAGAGCCCGGAGAUGGAUUCUGAGACAUGAAUCCAGGCCCUACGGGGCGCAGCAGGCGCGAAAACUUUACAAUGCGGGAAACCGUGAUAAGGGGACACCGAGUGCCAGCAUCAUAUGCUGGCUGUCCGGGUGUGUAAAAUACACCUGUUAGCAAGGGCCGGGCGAGACCGGUGCCAGCCGCCGCGGUAACACCGGCGGCCCGAGUGGUGAUCGUGAUUAUUGGGUCUAAAGGGUCCGUAGCCGGUUUGGUCAGUCCUCCGGGAAAUCUGACGGCUUAGCCGUUAGGCUUUCGGGGGAUACUGCCAGACUUGGAACCGGGAGAGGUAAGAGGUACUACAGGGGUAGGAGUGAAAUCUUGUAAUCCCUGUGGGACCACCUGUGGCGAAGGCGUCUUACCAGAACGGGUUCGACGGUGAGGGACGAAAGCUGGGGGCACGAACCGGAUUAGAUACCCGGGUAGUCCCAGCCGUAAACGAUGCUCGCUAGGUGUCAGGCAUGGCGCGACCGUGUCUGGUGCCGCAGGGAAGCCGUGAAGCGAGCCACCUGGGAAGUACGGCCGCAAGGCUGAAACUUAA